Molecule: non-coding RNA, 92 nt
Filed under: Anaerosalibacter massiliensis
Lineage: Bacteria; Bacillati; Bacillota; Tissierellia; Tissierellales; Sporanaerobacteraceae
Description: TPP riboswitch (THI element)
Rfam family: TPP riboswitch aptamer (THI element) (bases 4-85)
About the family: Vitamin B(1) in its active form thiamin pyrophosphate (TPP) is an essential coenzyme that is synthesised by coupling of pyrimidine and thiazole moieties in bacteria.
Source: RNAcentral
AGUGCUAGGGGUGCCUUAUGGCUGAGAAAAGUUUUUAUAACUUUACCCUUUGAACCUGAUUCGGAUAAACCCGACGUAGGAAAGCUAAUCUA